Pongo pygmaeus (Bornean orangutan) is the source of this 8854-nucleotide RNA transcript. RefSeq lists it as uncharacterized. Lineage: Eukaryota; Metazoa; Chordata; Mammalia; Primates; Hominidae. The transcript is spliced from 3 exons. The record is from RefSeq and is a predicted model, not a curated record.
UGGGUGGGAGGUCCAAUAGGGGGCGCCGCGUUGGAACGCCUGAAGAGGUGCUGCUGGGGUGGUUAGAAGCCGUUGGGGGGUGGGUGUAUGGCGGCUAGGCCUGGAAGACCACGAGGACCGCUAGCGCCGUGGGGUCAUUAUUCCUCAUGCCACAGGUUGCCGAGCCUCCGGGGAGAGGUGGGGUCCCAGGGGCCAACCCUUGGGUGUGUUGAUGGCGGCAGGCUAACCUAGCCAACGGGGUGCCGCUGCCGGGCAAGGUGAGGAGCAAGAAGAUUUCCAGGGCUGGGAGGUAGAGGGCCAGGACCCCAAGGAGAGGGCUUACUGCGAGGAGCAGCCCAGGAUGGAUAAGGAGUUGAGGCCCCAGGGAUGCUGAGCCUGCACAAGUGGAAGUGACUGGCUACCAGACUCGGAAAAACCUAAGUCCUUUAGGUGAGUGGAGCUAAGAGCUGAAACAUCAGUAGUGGGGUCUGGGACCCCAGAAGUGUGGCGAAAUGUUCGAGGAGUUGACCCACCUGUGGCACCUGAAAGGCCACAGGGACCUGAGGAAUCUGGUAUAGUAACAGCUGGGGGGUGAUCGGCUAGUGGGUUUACUGGAGUCCACCUUGAUUGGCCUGAUUGGUUGGCUUGUCUGGUGAUCCUCCUGAAGGCUGAUAAUUUUGCUAGCUCAAGACAGAAACGUGGCCUUGAUCUGGAGGGAGAUGGCCAGUGCUGGAUGUUAGUGGGCAGCGUCGUCCGGGGCCUAACCUUGCCAGGGGCGUUUUUAGGAUCUGCCAUUUUAAUGGUAUAAUAGCAAAGUACCUUAAACAUAGCUUUCUAGUGCUGGAUGGAUUGCCAUCAUGGGAAAAGAUAAAUAUGUGAUAGGACUGAGGAAGGAAAGUCUACUAAUGUGUUUAUGCAGCUAAGGAAGAGGAAGUCAGGAGAGGCUGGUGCCUGAAAAAAAGGCCGAGUCAGGAUGGAUAGAAGCUGUGUGCCAGGGUCUUGACCCCUGUCCUGAGGGGCUGUGUGCUGGAGUGCAGGGCUGCAGUGAGAUGAUGUGUCAAGUAGGGGAGGACAGGAUUGGCUGUCGAAACCCAGGGAUGGUUUACUUGAAAAUUGUGUAUACUUGGCUACUUAAAAAUAAUAGCGUCUGCACUUGAUGUACUAAGAAAGGGAUGGGAAAAAUUUCUCAUGCUUCCAUUAAACUCUGCAUUUCUGAGGAAAGCCAAACGGCCCCGGUGCCACAGGUGGCAAACAGUGGCUUUUUGAAAAUAUGGAACCCCCAAUGGAAAGAAUGUAUGUAUUUCUUUACCAUUGAGUCUCUGAACAGCACCAUUACAGCCCCGUUCCUUGGUAGCCGCACGUGAUGCCCUGGGCUUCCCAAACUUAGUCUCACCUCUCUACUGAUGCUCUCAUGGCACAUGUAUUCAACAAGUAAUUGUGUUUCUACUUACAUUCUGGGAUUCUUACUCAUUACCAAAAGCACAAGGCAUAUCUCAAGUUUGGGUAGCUACCUGUCAGCUUUCUGGGUUUAUCCCUGUAGCCAACAAAGAGAAGGCAAAGUAGAGAGAGGGAAGGGAGGUGGGUGAAAGGGAAGGGACCAGAAACCACGAAAAACAGUAUUUUUUUGGUAGUCAUUUUCCUUUUGGUCUGCGGCUUUGCAGGGAGGAGGUGGGUGGUGAAGUUUGCAGAAGUGCCUUCUCUGUAGCCCAUUCAUGUCAUUAGUUGUCAGUGGGUUUCUUUCAAUUGAGGAAAAAGUGAAAGCAGAAAGAGAAGGUAGAAAAGAAUUUAGGCAACUAUGAAGUUUCUCAGCCUCUCAGUGACAAAUGUUUUCUGAGUGCUGACUGAGUAGUAAUAGACUUUGAAGCUGUACAAUUAAUUACUUUUCAAUCAAGACUUGCUGCUGCCAUCCUUUUCCCUUCAGCCUCUCCUCUGCCCGCCUUGGCCGGUGGAGGCAGUAGCAUACUGCUGUCUGCAGAGGGGUCUGCGUGGCCAGGCUGUUUGAAGCAAAUGCCAGCUAAAGGAAAAUGGCCUCAAAUGGAUGAGGCAAGAUACCAGGUUAGAGGCAGAUGCAAGGCUGAUAUUAGACGUAGUGGAAACAGUCUUUAUGAAAAUACUUGAUAUGCUCAGAUUAAAAAGCCCCCAUCGUGAAUUCAGACCCCUUCACUCAGCUAAUUAGCUAUAGCUCAGCAACCUUCUCAAAAGGUGCCCCAAAUUCUGUUUCAGCCAAGGCAUGCCACUGUCCUCUGACCACCUGUGCUUGAACAGUGGGUCCAGACAUUUGUGGAUUCCUUCUCCAGACUAGCUGAUGAUGAAGCAGAGAAUUUCAGGGGAGGAGAGGCCAUUCCGGAAAAGAUGAACAGCACCAUGGGAAAGCAACUAAGAGCCAAAAGUAGGGGUUGGAGGGGAAAGAGGAAUCUCGGAAGGUAAAUUUGGCUUUAGUGGAAGCUCUGCUUAAAAUUUCUGUAAUUCAUGGUGGAAAUUCCAGCCACCCUGGGGGCUUCUGGGCAUCAUUAUUUGAGGGGAAUGGUAUAUUUCACCUUGUAGAACAACCCCAAUUACCCAGAGCAAAGUUUCCUAAUGAAAUCUAAUUAAGACAGCAACAUAAGCCAGGACACUCAGAAACCAGCUCUCACAUGGGGUUGGGGGAAGAAGAAACGUGGUCUUCUGCUGGCUACCAGUCUUUGGCCUGUGCCCCUUGGACCCCUCAAGUUUGAGAGUGGAGACCUUGAAGACCAACCUUGCUGUGAACCAAAACCCAAGGCUUUAGCCUUGGAGCUAGACAGCUAGAUUUCUAGGUGUUAAAUCUUUCUCUUUGAGUGUAGCAACUGAAGUACUUGUAUGAAAACUCCACACCUAUGAAAUUGGAAUUUUUGGACCAGGUCUGUAAGAAACUCUCAGGGGGACAGUGAUGUUAACGGUGUCAAAUCUGUGAGCCUCAUUAGUAGCCCUCCAAUGCCAUAUUUGGCUUUUAAAAAUGUCCUUCCUAAUGUUGAGCUGAAGUCUGUCCGUUGAUGCACCUGGUUCUAACCCCCUUAGCCACCAGAUACUUGAAGCUGCCCUCAACCUUUCUCUCUUCAAGACUCUCUUUAUUCCUUCAAACAACUUUCUUUAUAACCCCCAAAUUUCCUGGCUUUGUGACCCCUUUCCCCAUUUCUAAAUCUUCUUUUCUGCUCCUUCCCAGGGGUUGUCUUAUCUGCCCACAUCUUCCUUUUUUCUGUGAUCCCUCAAACUCUUCUUUUCCUUUUGUCUUCCUUAAAUCUCUCCCCACUUUACUGUCACCACUUACCCUCUGUCCCUGCUGCCUGGGUUUAUGUUGGCCUUUCUCAUAGCCAUGUGCCCUGCUAAUUUGUAACAUACUUACCCUAAAAUAAACACACAGGCUAUGCCCAGUGGGAGCUGGGAAAGCAGCCUCCCCAUUUCUACCCGGGAGUAGUUGCAGGCAGAGUCCUGCCUCUGCUGGCUGAGCACUGUCAACAGGUGAUGGUGGCCCCGCAUUGCAGGCUCUUGGCCUUGGGAGAACUAAGUCACUAGGCUGUUUAUUCUGGCUUCUCUGCCCUGUGAAUUAAUGGCCACUAGUGCUUGGACCAGCAUAGCUAUUGGAGGCAUUUGAAAAAACUCCUGAGAUUUUUAAACAAGGGAAAGAAAACAAAUACCAGUAAAAAAUUUAUGCCCCCCCACCCCCCACGUAUGGCCUUUUGAUAUGUAAGAAAGAAAUUAUAAAACAAAAAUGGGUGCUAAAUCACUUUGGGUGCUAAACAAAAAUGGGUGCUAAAAAUUUGACAGAACUAGAUUUUUUUGUUUUUGAAAUAUUUGCUUUGUUUAUCCCAUGCAUGUGUGAUGGAGGCAAAAUUGGUUUUGGGGGAUGCGGUGUGCAAAAAAGUCUUAGCUGUGACAAGGUCCUGCAGUACAUAAACAGAUAAUGGGGUAUAGCUAUAUGUCCGUGGUAUUAAAAUGUCAUGGGGAGGGGCAAAUAAGAAACAUGUCUGAAGAAGCUAAGAGGGGAGUGAUCAUGAAAAAAACAAAGGUUGAGAAAACUGGUUUAUCUCAAAUAGCUGUAGCUUCUAUACCAUUUUUUUCAGGUCUAGCUUAACCAGAACACUUAAAACUGUUACCAAAAAACUUUCAACAACACUUGUGGUCACUUAACCAAUGUUCCCAUCAGUCUGCCGUCUCCCACAGUGGUUAGCCUCUCCAAGCUGCAGUACUGGGUCAGUACUUGCAACCAUGCUGCCUGCUCCUGCUCUGAAAAGCUUGUUCUUAGACACCAAGGUCAGGGACAGAAGGUGGGGAACACACACACACACACACACAUAAAACACACACUAAAUAUGACUCUCAGGAUGGCUAAAUGUUUCCAGUUUAGGGAAAGGACACAGUGGAAUUCUGCAUUCUCUAAACUGCCUUUGAGACCAUUUUGCAACCAACUGUAAAGCAGAUUUGACAAAAUUUACAUGAAACCAACACAAAACAGAUUUCUUCAUAGCUGGUGCUUUUUUUGUUUUUCGGGGUUUUUGUUGUUGUUGUUGUUGUUUUGUUUUUUUUGAGACAGAGUCUCACACUGUAGGCCGGGCUGGAGUGCAAUGGCGCGAUACCUAGCUGGUGCUUUUUAUUUGAUCAACUUUUGAAGUUUUUUGGGACUUCCAUUAGGGUUAAAAUCACUAGUGUAGAGUCAAAUUGGACAACCCCAGGCUUCUUAAGCUAAUCAAUCUAGACAUUUGGAGCUGAAAGGGAUAAAUAGGAUCAUCUCAUUCAGCGACCUCAUUUUAGAAGAAACUGAGGCAGAGGGGUGUUGGGUCUGACCUAAGGCCACUUGACCAUGGCUAGAAGCAACCUGGGCUGCUAGCCCUGGGCCUUUCGUCUUAGAUCCCACUGCUCUAGUUUGGGACAUCAAGUUAUAGGAAAUAGAGUCAUUAGUGUCAAAACCCCACAACAGAACAAGAAAUUUCAUCUCUCAUUCUUGAACAUGGGGAUUAAAGAUGUCAUUUGAGCAUCUCAUCCCUCUGCUGGGUGAUUUUUUAGAGAAGAGCAGCAGUUGAGCUGGCACAUGACAUCACUGGCCUGGAAGCUUAAUUUUAUUUUAGUGAUUUGGUUUUUGUGAUAGGUCACCUUCCAGUUAAGAGACAUGCUUUACUCACACCAUGGUUUCUGCUCAGUUUCCUCUCAAAAGCUUCCCUCUUCUUGAAGAGCAGUAUAAUAAUAACUGAUAAUUGAGGUAAAUCCAUGUAGAUUAUUAAAAAACCAAAAAACCUCAUUCUUACCAACACUGAAGUUUCAGCUUUCUUCCUCCUUAACCUUCUACACAGCUGCAGAAAAUGAAGGCUGAAGCGUCAAAGGCUGUAAGCAACUCCAGGGUGAGAAAGGCUUGCAGUGCAUUAAAGAAACAUCUCAAAACAAUCCCAAACUGUAACAUUUCUAAUUCUUGAAUUCUGAUGAACAUAAAAAGUUUAGUUUGCGAAACUUUAAACCUACAUCGGGUUGACCCCACACAAUAUUGGAACAUUGCAACAUAAAUUCCCAGCUCAGAUAAGUUCAGUUACAAGAGCACCUUUGGGUCGCCCUCCCCUCCCCCACAAAAGCAAAUUUCCAUUAAGCAAAUGAUUAAUGUAGUAAAGGAAAGAACUUCAAUAUUGGGGGCAUAUCAUCAUGUUUAACAAGCUUUAUUCUCCUGCUCCUCCUCCUCCCUCACCCUCCAUUUGAAAUGUUAAAAGUGGUUGGUAAUUCACCUAUGUGGUUAAUGGUAAUAUCUGCUUUUUCUUGAGAGCAUAUCCUCACCCCACAGACCUCACCUAUGUAAAAGGGGCAAGUGGGCCUAUUCAAAUGCUAACCCCAGUUGAGCAGGGUGAGACAAAGGGCCAGCUGGGAGACUAGUGAGUUGGGAAUGCUUGGGGAACUUGCUAGAAAUGGCUCUGGAAAAGGAAGGCAGCUGAAUACCAGUUUCUCAGGCAGAAAGAAGGUUUGCUAGGUCUAUAUAGCAAAAUCCUGUUUUCUCAGGGAGGGUCAUAGGUGCUUUGAGAUCCUCGGGGGUUGGUAUAGCUCUCAGUUGCUUUAUAUGGUCUGCACUGGCUUUUCCACUCUUGAAUCAGGGUGUAAAGAGGGAAGCUGGGGGAGGGGAAUUGAGCGGGGGAGAGUGUGUGCCGGUAGGUAACAGGUUUUCACAAUUGGGCUGUAAUGCAGAUGGCGACGCAGUUUGUGGAAGACUGUCUGAAAGACAGUGUGUGUUCCUAGAUUGCCCCUCCUUGCUACAUGUGAACAUGGUACAUUGCUUACAGUUCAGGAAACCUCCCUGUAUUGGGCUUCUGUUUAAAAAACAGCAAGAUGGGUGUGAGAUGUGGGCUCGACACGGAGGGCUUUUAAAAAACUUGUUUAUUCAUCCUGCAACAAGGCAACAUGCUCAUUUCUCUAAUGAAUAAACCUAGCUCUGUGGGAAAACGGGUCUCCCAGAAUACCCAGUCUGAAGAUAGCUCCCACACUUGAGAGGCACACCAAAAAAAUUCAACACAAUCCCUGGUUUCUCUUGCUUGUCCCUAGAGACCUUUUGCUUGAUGAACUCAGGCUGAGACAUUACCAGAGGAAAAACUGAACACUUAAUUCCACAGAAAGCAACGCACCAUCAUUGUUUACAUUAAGUAGGAAUUUCGAUUUAGGGGCAAGCCAAAAGCGGGGCACGCCUAGCCCUUCCGCAGCCUCCAAACUUCUGAGACUAACAUUGCUGUCGCAGAAAACCACUUGCAAAUAAAUUGGCUUCUCCGUAUUAGGGAAGACCACAAAGGCAUCCAACCACAGUUUGCGCUGCAGCCCGGCAGAACUAAGUCUUGGGCGCCGCGACGCCUUUCCUACGGAAAAGGUCCUGGAAGGAAGACCAUUUAAGAUAUUUUCCUUCCAUCAUCAUCCUUUUCUUAGGAGUUAAGAACCUGACCGUCAUUCAUUUCAAGCCCUCAAAACGCUUUACUAUUCCUCCAAAUAAUUGUCAUCCGAAUAAUUCAAGCCGGCGCAAAAUGAGACACGCACACCAGGAAAAAAAAAAUCAAUUUCCAAGUCGGAUGAGAUUUUUUAAAGACAUUUCACUUAUCAGUCUUUCCCCCCAGGACUGGCGAGGAGAGCACGCCUUCCCUUCCGAAGGUGCGUUACCAGAUUGCGGCCGUUUUUGUGCUGGGUCAUCAGAGCAGAUUCCCCUCCAGGUUACAGAUUCUAAGCUUAACUCCACCCGAGCUGAAGAUGGCCGGAGCACGCCGCCUUGCCUCGCCUCCCCUCCCCAAGGCUGCCGGAGCCGCCGGCCCCUGCCUCCUUUUCGACUGACAGUCCAAGGACUGGCGCCGGAUCCAACACCUUUCCCCAGCUCUGCGCGUACCGCGCUCUUUGGAAACGAAUUGGUCCCUGUCUGCUUCCAAGGGUCCCUGGAACCUUCUGCAGCUGUGCCUCUCCAGAGCUCCGCCUCAUUAGUGCCACGUUCCUGGUUUGAAAACCAUGGUACUUCAACCUCUUCUAGAUGGGAGUUAACCUUUGCCCUCUGAAGGAAAGGUUUGAUAAAGCAAAGAGAGUUUGGUGAACAAGAUCCUUGUGGAGGUAAGAGCUGAUCUCUGACGUCCACUGGGAACUGGCUGCUCUGCAGGUUUCUAUAUCACAUUUUCUGCACAUGUCCAUUAGAAUUGGAGUUGGGGCGUAUCUAGUUUUGAAUAAAGGCCCAGCAGGCCCUCUCAGAUGCACCCUGUCAGACAGAGCAUACUGUGGAUUCUUUAGAAAUGGCUUGACUCAUUCUUGGUGGUGACCACGCCACCCACAGGCACCUAAAAUGAAAGGAUUUUUGUUAGCUGGUUACACCAAACCACCUCAGGCAAUACGUGGGAGACUCCAAACCAGCUGCUGUUAAAAAAAAAAAAAAAAAGGCAGCAGAGCAGUCAUAGAACAGACCCUUCUUACUGCUGCAUACAAGAUGAUCCCAUGGAAUGCAGGCAGCCACAGGUUUAUCCAUAUGUGCUCUGUGUAUCUGGGGCUGCUAGGCUGGUUAGAUUUGUGGUCUUCUUCCUCCUGAGGAGGACCCCAGAGAGAGCCAACCUGAGCCCUCACCAUUGUUCCUUCCCUGGCAGCACUUACAGAAUGAUCCUCUAAGACCUCCCCCCUCCAGCCCUAGCUGGGUUCCUAAUUUUCCAGCUAUUUAAUAUCUUCUUUAUGUCUCAGUGAAUGUUCCCAGGUAGAGUGGCCAGACAGACUCAUACUGACAGUUCUCAACAGCCAGUCCUAUCCUCCUAAAGAUCUCCAGAAUCAGCCAUGUGGACCUGAUGCUAGAGGCCUGUCAGCACUGGGGGACCCGGGAGAAGCAGCUCAGGUCUUCAGCAGAAGCAGGGCGGUUCUCCCAGUGGUUUUCCUUGACUGUGAGGAACUAGCCUGCUGCUUUGCUCAGGAGUGAGCUGCCGGCUCCCCUUUGAUGUGCUGCGUCUGUUCAGAACCAGGCAGGGGUGCUUCACCGCGGCAGCACUUGAGUGAGGCAGUGGUUCAGGGACUCUUCUCCCGGGGCCCCACACAAAACAUUGUUAGCACAGACCUGCCACUCAGAUCAAGGUGGCCAGCAGAGCCAUCAGAGAAUAGCCUUCAGAAGAUGAAUGGCAAGGCCAGCCGGCAGCACGUGAGGCCAGGGCAGAGACGCAAUGAACUGUUCCAUGGCGCCCCGAGCCUGCUGCCAAGGCCGCCUUGGAGCUGAGAUGGAGGCGGGGUGGCUAAGAGGCGAGUUUGAUGUGCAUGUUUGAGAAGAGGGCUCCAUGGAAAGUGCUGUAGGGGCCUUGGCUGGGGACCACGUGAGCCCUUGUGCAGAGAGGGCCUGUGUCUGUGGAUCUGGGGUCCACCACAGGCUACUGAGAUGGGACAGGGCUGGGAGGGUUGA